CUGCGAGUUUGGGCUGCCGUAAAAGCUAAGACCAAAUAAUCCAAACAUCGGCGAGUACCAGAAAUGGACGCUGAUGUAAUACUUGCUUGUGCUGCGAAAUCGCUAGUUUCUUACGACGGGAAGUUGCGUAGGUAUGAGACUAGUCCACCAGAUUUUCACCGCAAAAACCAUAUUUUCCAUCAAUUUUCGAUCCGUAGAAGCAUUGGACGUUCCAGCAGAAUUUUUUGAAGACAUGAUUAGAAUCUCGUUUGAAGCUAGAUAGAUCUAUAGCCCCAAAUCGUUUCUCAACUUCUAACCCUCCUUCACCUCAGAUUUGAGCAUCCGGCAUCUAUAAUCCUCCUUCACCUCAUAGUACCUCCAGGCCGGCAAAAAUUUCUACCAAUUAAAUUGUCAUCCAAAAAGCCCCAAUUUGAUCUUGAGGCUAGCCCCAAUUAUCCCCUUCCUGAAAAUUGCGCGAAAGAUUAGGCCUUCGAGAGGUAAUCAAUCUCUGUCCCACGUCGGACCGAGAUGAGGUCGUAUUUAUCCCAUCUUGCAAGCCACUGACUUCCGGCAAUAUUCUGUGGGUAAUCACGACACACUUUCGCGCGGCAACUUCCGUUACUCAGUGGAAACCAAUUUUCGUCACCCGCACAGAGGCCCAUUAGGAUUGGUGCAGUGAGUCUAUUCAAAUGGUUAAUUCAGCCAUUCAUCUUCUAGUCAUGGAGCAUACAAGUACAGAAAAUGAGAUGAUGAGAAAGGGAAACGUAGUUUACGAAUCUAUAUAAGAUCUCCUUGUCAGAGGUGAAUGUUGUAGUGAUCUGUUCUGGCAGCAGCUUUAUGUAUUUAGUAUUUACGGAAAACAUUACCUUAAGGAUGAGGAAUACAUUUACUACUAAUUAAUGUCGUUGUUUGAGUAGAAUUUCAGACUAUAAUUGGGGUUGAAUGACUGGAUAAUGUAAAUACUAGCUUUCUCAAAGACUAUGGUGAUAAUUUGGACUUAUUAAUUGUUUAUACAUGCACACAAUGCUUUUAUUACUGAA
Molecule: long non-coding RNA, 1019 nt
Organism: Carya illinoinensis
Lineage: Eukaryota; Viridiplantae; Streptophyta; Magnoliopsida; Fagales; Juglandaceae
Exons: 2
Source: RefSeq, a predicted model, not a curated record